Molecule: transfer RNA, 65 nt
Filed under: Cricetulus griseus (Chinese hamster)
Lineage: Eukaryota; Metazoa; Chordata; Mammalia; Rodentia; Cricetidae
Rfam family: tRNA
About the family: Transfer RNA (tRNA) molecules are approximately 80 nucleotides in length.
Source: Rfam by way of RNAcentral
GGUGUAGCUUGGUUGUAGAGUGAUUGCUUAACAUGCACAAGGCUCUGGGUUCAAUUCCCAGCACC